AUUCCUUGCAAUCUCAAAGAAAAAGGAACGAGAGUAGGAGGGAUGGAGGAUAAAAGCACCUGCAAACAAAAAAACAAAAGAAGAAGCUAAUAUCAAGCCUUAAGGAAAAUAAGAGAAGAAUUAGUGUCAAAGUGCACUACGUAACUAACCUAAAGCAAAAGGGGAUAGGGUAUGAAGCAAUUGAAAUUCGGCAGAAGUGAUCGGAGGCAACAAAAGAUGAGAGUUUACUUCUUUCUAAUGAAGGGAUUUUUGGAAUGGAGGAGAACAAGCUAGGUAGUUGAAGAAGUUGAAUGUGUGCUCGAGCUGGCGCGCUUGUUAUGUUGGCGCGAGUACUACACAGCAGUUGACGCAAACGAGAAUUUCGUUAAUUAGAGUAUACGAGUUGAUAGUUCCUGGUGAGCCCCACACUUAUUCGCGUGGGCGAAGAGUUUAUUUCUUUGUUAUCGUGUUUUCUAUUUAACUCAUAGAGUCGCUCCAUAGUCAUUCUUUUAGUGUCAUGAGUAUUCUUUCGUUAUUAUAGACUUAUGAUGAGUAUUGCACUUCCUUAUUGAAUUUGGAGAUAAAUUAGUAUUUGUGGCUGUUAGUGAGUAUAUUAUAA
This is a long non-coding RNA of Nicotiana tabacum (common tobacco), 598 nucleotides long. RefSeq lists it as uncharacterized. NCBI's taxonomy places the organism in Eukaryota, Viridiplantae, Streptophyta, Magnoliopsida, Solanales, Solanaceae. The record is from RefSeq and is a predicted model, not a curated record.